UACGGAGGGUGCAAGCGUUAUCCGGAUUCACUGGGUUUAAAGGGUGCGUAGGCGGACAGGUAAGUCAGGGGUGAAAUCUCUGGGCUUAACCCAGAAACUGCCGUUGAUACUAUUUGUCUUGAAUAUCCUGGAGGUAGGCGGAAUAUGUCAUGUAGCGGUGAAAUGCUUAGAUAUGACAUAGAACACCGAUAGCGAAGGCAGCUUACUACAGGAUGAUUGACGCUGAGGCACGAAAGCGUGGGGAGCAACCAGG
This 253-nucleotide ribosomal RNA is filed under the name uncultured bacterium. RNAcentral's name for it is "partial 16S ribosomal RNA". It matches the Rfam family "Bacterial small subunit ribosomal RNA", at positions 524 to 776 of the family's 1533-position model. The record is from RNAcentral.